Zingiber officinale is the source of this 2733-nucleotide RNA transcript. RefSeq lists it as uncharacterized. The transcript is spliced from 2 exons. NCBI's taxonomy places the organism in Eukaryota, Viridiplantae, Streptophyta, Magnoliopsida, Zingiberales, Zingiberaceae. The record is from RefSeq and is a predicted model, not a curated record.
GAUUUGUUUCUAAUUAAUUAAUUAUUUAUUCUGAUUUUUUUCUUUUGUUUUUCUAGGAUUUUGAUUGUCUAGUUAGAAUUUGCAAUGUCUACGAAUUUAUCAAAAAAAGAUAAAAAAGAUAUUGGUUGGAAGUAUUGUUAUCAAAAUGAAGGGGAAAAAAUUGUUCGGUGCAAAUUUUGUCAUCAUAUAUCGAAUGGAGGGAUUACUCGCUUGAAGGAACAUUUAGCUCAAACUCAUAAAGGGGUUGCACCUUGUGUUAGUGUUCCGGAUGAUAUUAAGAAAGAAAUUAGAGAAUCACUUGACAAAAUUAGAGCAUCUAAAAGUAAACAAACUGAAUUGUUACGAGAGAUCGGUGAAGGUCCCCAAAGUAUGAGUACGCAAUCAUCAAAAGUUGGAAGUGUAGGGGGAAAUUCAAUUGGAUGUUCUGGUAGUGGUGAAUCAAAAGGUAAAGGUACUCUUCAUGGGUUUGUUAGUUCCGAACCUCGACAAACAACCCUAAAUUCGACAUACAAAAAAGAUUUGUUGGUUGAUGUGAAGCGUAGAAUUGGUCGUUUUAUUUACUCUGCCGCACUUCCGUUUAAUGUUGUGAAUGAUCCUUAUUGGCUGCCUAUGGUUGAGGGCAUUGCGGAAUAUGGAAGAGGGUUCAAGCCUCCUUCAAUGCAUGAGUUAAGAACUUGGAUACUUAAAGCUGAGGUUGAUGGCAUCAACCUAAUAUAUGAGGAGCAUAAAAAGGCAUGGAAAAAAUAUGGAUGCACUAUUAUGUCCGAUGGUUGGACGGAUGGAAAGAAUAGAAGUUUGAUCAAUUUUUUAGUAAAUAGUCCCGCCGGCACUUUCUUUUUGAAAUCUAUUGAUGCAUCAGAUUCUAUUAAAAAUGGGGAAUUGAUCUUUAAAUAUCUUAAUGAUGUUGUUGAUGAGGUGGGAGAGGAAAAUGUAAUUCAAAUUGUCACGGAUAAUGCUUCGAAUUGCAUUAAGGCGGGGGAAAAAAUUAUGGAGACUAGACAUAGAAUUUGGUGGACACCUUGUGCGGUGCAUUGCAUUGAUCUAAUGUUGGAGGAUAUUGCAAAGUUGAAGAUUUUUUUUGACACAAUUGAGCAUGCUAAGAUGGUUGUGAAGUUCCUUUAUGGUCAUGGGACUAUACUUUCUUUGAUGAGAAAGUAUACAAACGGUAAAGAAAUUCUCCGUCCCGCUGUUACUCGCUUUGCUACUUCAUUUCUCACUCUUCAGAGUAUGUAUAAGGUUAAAAGGCCACUUGAACAAAUGUUUGCUUCCGAAGAUUGGGUUAGUUCACCACUAUCUCAAACAACUCAGGGGAAGGUCGUGAAGAGAAUUGUUAUUAAUGAUCCCAACUUUUGGCCACAUGUUGCAUUUUGUGUUAAGAGUGUUGUUCCUCUUGUAAGUGUGUUAAGGGAAGUUGAUUCGGAGGAGAGAUCGGCCAUGGGAUAUAUUUAUGAACUUAUGGAUAAGGCAAAAGAGACAAUAAAAUUUAAUUGUGGGGGAGUUGACAGAAAAUACAAACCCAUUUGGAAAAAAAUUGAUUCAUGAUGGACUCCACAACUUCAUCAUCCUCUACACGCGGCCGGGUACUAUUUGAAUCCGCAAUUGCGUUAUGAAGAAAGAUUUUCUUAUUGUGAUGAAGUUAGAGAUGGAUUGUAUACUUGCAUGGAUAGGAUGUUGUCUUCUGAUGAUCGUCUUAAAGCAGACAUCCAAUUGGACUUAUAUAAUAAAGCUGAAGGAGAAUUUGGAACUCCAAUAGCAAAACGAACAAGAAUGUUGCGAACUCCGGGUAAAAUUUUCUUCUUGUAACCGUUCUUGUAAAAUUAUACUAGCAUUCAUAUUUUAAAAUUAUAUACAUUCUUGUAAUUUUUUUUAAUGUUAUUACUUAUUAGUCUCGUGGUGGGAACGUUUUGGAAGUAAGACACCCGAGCUUACUACAUUUGCAAUUCGAGUGCUUGGUCUCACUUGUAGUGCUUCGGGAUGUGAAAGAAAUUGGAGCACUUUUGAAUCGGUGAGUAUUCUAAGUUUCUAACUCUACUUGAAUUUUAAUUGUUUUAUAAUUUUCAUAUCAUUGUUUAUUUUUAUAUAUAUAUGUUUUCUUUUUUGUAAUAUUAGAUUCAUACAAAAAAGAGAAAUAGGCUUGAACAUGCAAAGUUGAAUGCGUUGGUGUUUGUGAAAUAUAACUUCAAGCUUAGGGAGAGAAGUAUUAGGAGGAGAGACAAGAUUGAUCCCAUUGUAGUUGAUGAAAUUAAUUCAGAUGAUGAAUGGAUAACUGAGAAAGAAGGUCCAGUUCUCCCCGUAACUACUAAAUGGCUUGAAGAUGAUGAAUUAUUUGAAAGUGAUCCUAUUGUGAGUGUGUCAUCUGCUACCUUUGAAAGUCUUUUCGACUCAGAUAAGCGAGUUGAAGAUGUUGAGGAUAUAGUUGAAGUUCCUCCUACGAAUUCAAAAAAAAGAGUUGCUGAAAAUUCAAGUGGAAGCAAAGACAAACAAGCAAGGUUGAGUCUUGUUGAUGUGGAAGAUAAUCAUCUUGAUGCUGAAAAUUAUGGAGUAAUUCCAACUUUUGAUAGUGGAAAUUUUCCAACCAUAGACACUAUUGAUGAUGAUAGUGAUAUAGAGUUGGAUGAUACUGAUUAUUUUUAAGUUAUGUUGUUUUAAUUAUAAGACUUUUUAAAUUGUUGGUAUGGGAUAUUUUGACAUGUAAUGAAUUAUUAUGAUUAAUUUUAGGUUAUGUUAUUUUUA